CGUCGGCGAUGUCGUCGCGGACGAGCAGCUCCGCCCAGAUGCGGCGCAGGGCGUCGCGGGUCGCGGUGCCCGCCGGUUCCGGUUCCGGUUCCGGCGC
RNAcentral lists this transfer RNA (97 nucleotides) under Pilimelia terevasa. Its description in RNAcentral is "tRNA-Ile". The record is from RNAcentral. Lineage: Bacteria; Bacillati; Actinomycetota; Actinomycetes; Micromonosporales; Micromonosporaceae.